GAGGCUUUAGCUUAAUUAAAGCGUCUGAGUUGCAUUCAGGGGACGUAUAUUAAAGUUAUACACCCCUUC
This 69-nucleotide transfer RNA is filed under the name Bavayia kunyie. RNAcentral describes it as "tRNA-Ala". It matches the Rfam family "tRNA". Rfam says of the family: Transfer RNA (tRNA) molecules are approximately 80 nucleotides in length. Their secondary structure includes four short double-helical elements and three loops (D, anti-codon, and T loops). Further hydrogen bonds mediate the characteristic L-shaped molecular structure. tRNAs have two regions of fundamental functional importance: the anti-codon, which is responsible for specific mRNA codon recognition, and the 3' end, to which the tRNAs corresponding amino acid is attached (by aminoacyl-tRNA synthetases). tRNAs cope with the degeneracy of the genetic code in two manners: having more than one tRNA (with a specific anti-codon) for a particular amino acid; and 'wobble' base-pairing, i.e. permitting non-standard base-pairing at the 3rd anti-codon position. Lineage: Eukaryota; Metazoa; Chordata; Lepidosauria; Squamata; Diplodactylidae. The record is from RNAcentral.